Molecule: long non-coding RNA, 902 nt
Organism: Neopelma chrysocephalum (saffron-crested tyrant-manakin)
Lineage: Eukaryota; Metazoa; Chordata; Aves; Passeriformes; Pipridae
Exons: 2
Source: RefSeq, a predicted model, not a curated record
UUUCCUAUUGAAUGUAAUUUUUUUAAGUUGAUGAAAUAUUGAAAAACAAUAGCAGUGUUCUGUUAGCUUGGUGCUAGGUUUUUUUUUUCCUAUUUAAUGAUAAAUGCAGAAAUAUUUAGUUCCUCCUCACACAUACAGUCUUCUCUCCAAGGACUGGGAUCCUAUUGUGCUCCCAUUCACUCAAUUUCAAUUCCAUUUUAUUUGGCAUUCUGUUCCUUAAGGACACUGGAACAGAGAAGGCUUACAAAUUUAUAACAGUGUAUUGCUAACAAAGCUCACAAAAUCAACCAUAUCUCCAAAAGGCCAUUUCAGUCUUCCAGCAUUCCUAAGCAAAACCACUUUCAUUCAUUAUGCUGCCCUCUUUCUCCACCAAUCAGUUGCACACACAAUUGAUGUGUGUAUACAUCAGUUGCACUGUUUUUUGUAACUGUAGCACACUGGCCAUGGACAACUAGUUCAUUGCCAGUGAUAAUCCCCCAGAUUUCUUUCAAAGUUCUUUUUUUUUUUACAAUAUUUUUUCUUUCUAUUUGUAUUUCCACUUACUGUAUUCAAGGUCACUCAUUCUCAUUUUGUAAUUUUCUUUUUGUGGUUUAUGGCCCCUGUAUACAAACUACAACAAUGGCAGCAGUAAUGGCAGCUCAUAAGUAAUGAAUAAAUAAUUUUAUAUUUCGUAAUUCAUAACUGAUGCUUUCAGAAACAUUGUCUUUUGCUCAGCCUGCCAUGAUGUAACGUCAAGAAUUUGAUUAGCAUUUCCCAUACAAUUCAAUACUCGUUAUAUUGAUAGCAGAAAUCAAAUCAUAUCAUACUAAAUACCAUUGUUUGUGUUUGGAAAGUCGAUAUUUGUUGCUGUGGAUGAUUUAAGCCUUUGCUUUUUCUGUAUUUCAUUACAAACUCCGCUGGAA